This is a long non-coding RNA of Diorhabda carinulata, 452 nucleotides long. RefSeq lists it as uncharacterized. The record is from RefSeq and is a predicted model, not a curated record. Lineage: Eukaryota; Metazoa; Arthropoda; Insecta; Coleoptera; Chrysomelidae. The transcript is spliced from 2 exons.
GCGCUGAUACGAUACAAUAUUACCGAAACCGGUCAUAUAGGUAUCGGUGGUUUUCGACGUUUUUUUUUUUAGAGAAAACGAACCGGGAAAGUUUCUUUUCGAAUAAUUAAAAUUCGUAUCAAUAUCGUAGGUGUUGGUUGUUCGAUGCGCGCUUCGCUGUAUUUGAAACAAAUCAAACAUUACAUAUUCAUGCGGCGUUAUCAAAAAAAAAUUUAGUGACGAGGCAGUUAUACCGUACCUAUGGGUAUAGAGGUCGAGUAGAGGUCGAACACCUUGGUUGGUGUUUGUGGAUAUCGCAAACGCGACAACUAGAGCAAGGUUUGUUGGAUUUGGCCCCGAUGUAGGAAUUACUCCUCUGCAGGGCUGGGAUUGUGGUGAUUGGUUUUGAUUAUGCCGUCUAGGACAAAGUAGAAACGAUUAUCUCCAAUUUUGAAUACAUAUAUUGUAAUAUU